This 464-nucleotide ribosomal RNA is filed under the name Vreelandella stevensii. RNAcentral describes it as "partial 16S ribosomal RNA". It matches the Rfam family "Bacterial small subunit ribosomal RNA", at positions 338 to 795 of the family's 1533-position model. Lineage: Bacteria; Pseudomonadati; Pseudomonadota; Gammaproteobacteria; Oceanospirillales; Halomonadaceae. The record is from RNAcentral.
CCUACGGGUGGCAGCAGUGGGGAAUAUUGGACAAUGGGCGAAAGCCUGAUCCAGCCAUGCCGCGUGUGUGAAGAAGGCCUUCGGGUUGUAAAGCACUUUCAGUGGGGAAGAAAGCCUUGGGGCUAAUACCCUCGAGGAAGGACAUCACCCACAGAAGAAGCACCGGCUAACUCCGUGCCAGCAGCCGCGGUAAUACGGAGGGUGCGAGCGUUAAUCGGAAUUACUGGGCGUAAAGCGCGCGUAGGCGGUCUGAUAAGCCGGUUGUGAAAGCCCCGGGCUCAACCUGGGAACGGCAUCCGGAACUGUCAGGCUAGAGUGCAGGAGAGGAGGUAGAAUUCCCGGUGUAGCGGUGAAAUGCGUAGAGAUCGGGAGGAAUACCAGUGGCGAAGGCGGCCUUCUGGACUGACACUGACGCUGAGGUGCGAAAGCGUGGGUAGCAAACAGGAUUAGAUACCCCAGUAGUC